GAUGAACGCUGGCGGCGUGCCUAAUACAUGCCAGUCGAGCGAACGGACGAGAAGCUUGCUUCUCUGAUGUUAGCGGCGGACAGGUGAGUAACACGUGGAUAACCUACCUAUAAGACUGGGAUAACUUCGGGAAACCGGAGCUAAUACCGGAUGAUAUUUUGAACCGCAUGGUUCAAAAGUGAAAGACGGUCUUGCUGUCACUUAUAGAUGGAUCCGCGCUGCAUUAGCUAGUUGGUAAGGUAACGGCUUACCAAGGCAACGAUGCAUAGCCGACCUGAGAGGGUGAUCGGCCACACUGGAACUGAGACACGGUCCAGACUCCUACGGGAGGCAGCAGUAGGGAAUCUUCCGCAAUGGGCGAAAGCCUGACGGAGCAACGCCGCGUGAGUGAUGAAGGUCUUCGGAUCGUAAAACUCUGUUAUUAGGGAAGAACAUAUGUGUAAGUAACUGUGCACAUCUUGACGGUACCUAAUCAGAAAGCCACGGCUAACUACGUG
This 497-nucleotide ribosomal RNA is filed under the name uncultured bacterium. Its description in RNAcentral is "partial 16S ribosomal RNA". It matches the Rfam family "Bacterial small subunit ribosomal RNA", at positions 28 to 507 of the family's 1533-position model. The record is from RNAcentral.